GGCGUAAAGCGCAUGCAGGUGGUUAGGUAAGUCCGAAUGUGAAAUCUCCUGGCUCAACUAGGAGAGGCUGUUCAAGACUGCCUGACUAGAGGGCUGUAGAGGGGGGUAGAAUUUC
This 115-nucleotide ribosomal RNA is filed under the name uncultured bacterium. RNAcentral describes it as "partial 16S ribosomal RNA". It matches the Rfam family "Bacterial small subunit ribosomal RNA", at positions 557 to 670 of the family's 1533-position model. The record is from RNAcentral.